GAAGCCGAUUCAUCCGGUAGGAACCCAGGGAGCCGCACUGAGAACCAGGUCGCCACGGGACUGAGCAGAACGCAGUGCCAGGCUGAGAUAUGAGGAAAAUGAAGAUUCUACUGAGUAUCACAAUGUUGGCCAUCUUAUACACCGACUUCGUCCCUGUGUUUAAUGGGAACGUAUCAUCUGCUUUGAAUAAUACCAACAUAAUCCGAUUGAGGGGGCUGGACACGGAGACUACAACAAGUUUAGUACGCCUCCAGUGUCACGUGUGCAUGGGAGACUUCCAGUGCCAAGCACCACAGACAUGUGCCCCUACCGAAAAAUUCUGCAUGAUCGCUCAGACCGAUAAAAACGAGUACAACGUAAUCAAGUACUGUGCAGAAACGUGCCCGUAUAUGGAGCGAUUCCAUGGAAGAAGUGAAGGUGACGGGUACCUUGCCUGCUGUGCCCAAGACUUAUGCAAUUAUAAAAGACUGGGGAGCGGGCACAGAGCGCUCUGUGCUAGUGUCCAAGCGGUGGCAAUGGCAUUCAUAGCGAGCUUCUUCGGGACUCUCAGGGUCAGACCAGGAGAUGCUGGGAUAGAACUGUGACCUCUGAGACCCUGCCCACGCCACGUCCCUCUCAGUAAGAAAUUCUCACCCAUGUCUUCUGGAAAAGAGCUACCCGGGGCCCUGGAAGCCUUUCCCAUAGCUCCUGAGAGCCAGCAUAGGAGCCCUUCCCUGGCUUAUGUUCUUUAUGUUUCUUUGAGAUGUUUGGAAAGUGUUAUAUAAAUGCUCACUGGUAUGAUUAAUAGUAACGAUAAUAAUAAGAAGAAUUUCCAUUGCAUUUUCAUCCUUAUUUCUUGUGGGGGGCAUGUGUCUUUUUUUCUCUCAAAAUGUGAUACUCUAGGACUCAAAGUCUUGGAGCAUACCUGGGAAAUUCUUAUCAAACAAGAUGCUGGAAGGAAAACGCCUUUGUAACCAAUGCUAGCCAUUAUUAGCUAUAAGAUUGCAAGCUCUGUGAGGGCAGGAAAUAUAUCUCAGCUCAGUUUUCUACCUCCCCUAACGCCCAACACGGUAACCUUCACAAAGCAGGUUCUCAAUAAAUGUGUUGAAUUAUAUUGAACA
Molecule: long non-coding RNA, 1100 nt
Filed under: Phascolarctos cinereus (koala)
Lineage: Eukaryota; Metazoa; Chordata; Mammalia; Diprotodontia; Phascolarctidae
Description: lncRNA (ENSPCIG00000029510.2)
Source: RNAcentral